Molecule: ribosomal RNA, 492 nt
Filed under: uncultured bacterium
Lineage: Bacteria
Description: partial 16S ribosomal RNA
Rfam family: Bacterial small subunit ribosomal RNA
Source: RNAcentral
AGUGAACGCUGGCGGUAGGCCUAACACAUGCAAGUCGAACGGCAGCACAGUAAGAGCUUGCUCUUACGGGUGGCGAGUGGCGGACGGGUGAGGAAUACAUCGGAAUCUACUUUUUCGUGGGGGAUAACGUAGGGAAACUUACGCUAAUACCGCAUACGACCUACGGGUGAAAGCAUGGGAUCUUCGGACCUUGCGCGAUUGAAUGAGCCGAUGUCGGAUUAGCUAGUUGGCGGGGUAAAGGCCCACCAAGGCGACGAUCCGUAACUGGUCUGAGAGGAUGAUCAGCCACACUGGAACUGAGACACGGUCCAGACUCCUACGGGAGGCAGCAGUGGGGAAUAUUGGACAAUGGGCGCAAGCCUGAUCCAGCCAUACCGCGUGGGUGAAGAAGGCCUUCGGGUUGUAAAGCCCUUUUGUUGGGAAAGAAAAGCAGCAGGUUAAUACCCCGCUGUUCUGACGGUACCCAAAGAAUAAGCACCGGCUAACUUCGUG